UGACAUAUGCAGGCCUAUAUAAAGGACGGCAGCGCUACGGUCAUUCUUUACUUCUUCUUGUCUGGAACUGAAGCGGUGUGGCGGAUGGAGAACGUGGAGAUGGAAAGGGAGCAAAAGCGGCCUCUCUUCCUAAAAAGUCGUGCAGAUAUGAUUAUAUGGAGUCGUUCAAUUAGGUUUUUCUUCCAUAAUCUUCGUCGAUCCUGAUCUUUUCAAGAAUGAGCCGGAUUUUGUUGAGGUGGCAUGCAAGUGGAGUCUAUAUAUAAAGUGACCAGGUGUCCACAGUGAAAAAUGGUAGAACUGCAGUUCCAAAUGGGAAUUAAUUCUGCACCAUGGUCUGCUUUUUCACAUGUAUUGGUGGAAAUCCUGUUGCAUUUAUACAGUAAGAGGUUCCUAUUGCCUGAAGAGUGCUCAGCUGCCAUGGCACCAUAGAAAGUGGUUCUGGAAAGCUCCUAACAUCAUGAUCAAUCUCCAUUAAGAGCUUUUAGUUGAGGGGAAAAUACAUACCUGGAAUUGUUUACAAGCAUCUUGUAUGAAGACUGACUCGGGUUUUCACAUAAUGGAUCAUGAACAUUGGAGUGGCAAAUGAGUGAGCAGAUUCUCUUCUCUGGCAUUACAUAAUCGCUCAGUGUCUAGAACACUUCAAGCAGUCAUGAGUGUUAAAUGGAUUUCUGGGAUGUGUAGCUGACAAUAUUUGCACAUAAAUAAUCCACUUCUUUGUAGCCUGGAUAAUUCAAGAUUGAUGUGACCUAAUUUGUAAAUCACUAUGUAAAUCUUAGUGCUGUAUAAAUAAAUUAUUGAAAAGUG
Xenopus laevis (African clawed frog) is the source of this 804-nucleotide long non-coding RNA. RefSeq lists it as uncharacterized. Lineage: Eukaryota; Metazoa; Chordata; Amphibia; Anura; Pipidae. The record is from RefSeq and is a predicted model, not a curated record. The transcript has 10 exons.